This 771-nucleotide ribosomal RNA is filed under the name uncultured bacterium. Its description in RNAcentral is "bacterial SSU rRNA". It matches the Rfam family "Bacterial small subunit ribosomal RNA", at positions 27 to 774 of the family's 1533-position model. The record is from RNAcentral.
GAACUAACGCUGGCGGCGUGCCUAACACAUGCAAGUCGUACGAGAAAGUCGGCUUCGGCUGAUGAGUAAAGUGGCGCACGGGUGAGUAACGCGUGGAUAAUCUGCCCCUGAGUUCGGAAUAACGUACCGAAAGGUGCGCUAAUACCGGAUAAUGCUGAGAGACUACUGUCGCUUAGCCAAAGAAGGCCUCUGUUUACAUGCUUUUGCUUUGGGAUGAGUUCGCGUACCAUUAGCUAGUUGGUAGGGUAAUGGCCUACCAAGGCGACGAUGGUUAGCUGGUCUGAGAGGAUGAUCAGCCACACUGGAACUGAGACACGGUCCAGACUCCUACGGGAGGCAGCAGUGAGGAAUAUUGCGCAAUGGGGGCAACCCUGACGCAGCAACGCCGCGUGAGUGAGGAAGGUUUUCGGACCGUAAAGCUCUGUCGAGCGGGAAGAAAUGCAUGGUGGCUAAUAUCCAUCAUGCUUGACGGUACCGCUAGAGGAAGCACCGGCUAACUCCGUGCCAGCAGCCGCGGUAAUACGGGGGGUGCAAGCGUUGUUCGGAAUUAUUGGGCGUAAAGAGCGUGUAGGCGGCUGAAUAAGUCAGAUGUGAAAUCCCUGGGCUUAACCCAGGACGUGCAUUUGAAACUAUUCAGCUUGAGUAAGGGAGAGGAAAGUGGAAUUCCUGGUGUAGAGGUGAAAUUCGUAGAUAUCAGGAGGAACACCGGUGGCGAAGGCGACUUUCUGGCCCUAUACUGACGCUGAGACGCGAGAGCGUGGGUAGCAAACA